AGAGGAAACCACAAAGAUUUAAGCCUUCUAUGGAAAAGCGAGCUAAAAGGUCCAGAACAUGUGCGAAAUGCAAAAAGAAAGGUCAUAAUGUUCGAACGUGUAAAGAGGUAAUCUAUUUUGUAGUUUUAUUAAAACUUUAUUGUCUUCUUUUAUACUCCAAAUAGAGAAUCUAAAUAGUUUUCUCUUAUCUUUAUAUAGGUUGCACUGGGAGAUGCAUACUUCGAUGUAGAUGUUAAUGAAAGCAACAGCAAAUAACGUAUUUUGUUAAUACUUUUGUAUGUAUGGUUUUAGUGUAUAGUUUCACAUGUAAAUUACGCCUUAUGGUGCUUCUUUUUGGUUUAAAAAGCUUUGUUAUAUUUUGAGAUAUAAGGGUCGAUGUGUAAUUCAUGCCCUUAGCUUUGGUAUUAAACUUCUAUCUUAAAGAAUAACACAUAUGAAAAAAUGAUUCAAUGAUAUAUUAUGUUAAUGAAAGCAGCAGGGAGUAAAAUAUUUUGUUCAUAUUUUUUUAUGUAUGGUUUGGAUGUAUAGUAAAUUAUGCCUUCUGAUACUUCUUUUUUGGCUUAAAAAGUUUUGUUAUAUUUUGGGGGAUAAGUGUUGAUCUGUAGUUCAUGCUCUUUAGCUUUGGUAUUAAACUUCUGUCUUGAAAAAUAAUACAUAUAAAAAAAAUGAUUCAAUGAUAUACCAUAUUGUUUCUAUUUCUUUUCCUACUUUAGGUUUGACAUGCUCUUCUCAAACUUAAUUUGUAGAGCUGCUUUUUAUUUUGAGGUUGAAGUUAUUAGCAAGUAGCUAAUAUUUGAAUAAGUAUGCAAUAUUCUAUUUUGAUCAGUAAGCAUGCAGAAAGUAACAAGCUGAGAUAACCAGCAAGCUACAANNNNNNNNNNNNNNNNNNNNNNNNNNNAAAAAAAAAAAAAAAAGGAGCACAUAAUAAUAUGAUUUUAGUGAUAUUUCAUAUUCGCUGCCUUUUUUGAGAUCUAUAUGACAAGCUAAUUAUACCACAUUUAUAAAUGGUAUAAGAUAAAGGCACAAAACAUUCAUUUACAGAGUACAUUUUUAAGUUCUGUAUGACAGAAUCUAUGCCUUUAACUUUAUAAUAAUGUGUGAAACUAUUACGCGUACGUAUGUGACUUUUUCAGCACAAUAGAUAUGUAGAAGCAGAUCAAGAAAUGGAUCUAGAACCUAAUUUUGCCAUCAUGAUUUAAGUUAACCAACAAAUUAUAAACAUAUAAAAUCAUUUUAAUACGGAUUAGCAUCCGUUAGUUUUUAAUCACAAUCAGAUUGGGAUCUAAGCCUUAGAUUGUUGGAACAAAUACCGCAACGAAAAUUUGAUUGUGAUUAAAAAUCUAACUAAUUUGUAAUAAAGAUAAAAUUGAACUUACAGAUAAACGCAAAUAUUCCAAUAAAAAUUUGAUCUUAUCCGGAAGCGUGCGAGGGACUGUCCUAAGGCUUAUUCCCGUCCUUCGUGCAGGAUUAACCGGAAAUACCGCCCCAAGAUACGAUCGGAAUUCCUCCUCCUACGGACACGAACGCGGAAGAGGUUGACGAAGCUUCUUUCAACACCCGGCAAUAAAAUGAUCAAAUAAAAUGAAUAAAAAAAAUUAAAUCAAUUUAAUAAUUAAUUAGUAGCUCUCUCUGUGAGCUCUUUUGUCCUUUUCAUCCCCCUGUGUAAAGGUGAAGGACAACAUCUAUAUGUAUAAGGCGAGUAUGAGAUGGACUCCAACGUUCGGCUCCGAAAAGUAUGCCUUCGAGCGCUUUCACGCCUGACGAUGCGCACUAUGGCGCGUAACGUCCACGCCACUCUCGGAUUCCAAACGGCUCUAAACAUCAAAACAAUUAAUAUAUAAAUAUAAAUAAAUAAAAUAUAUAUUCAAAAAUUUUGAGUUUGUCCAACACACUCUUCGCUGCCAUGUGUACUUCGCAACGUAGUGAAAGCAUUAAUGCUGUCACUAAAAUUUGGGUCGACAACCAUACAUCAAUAUACAAAUUUGUCCUUCAAAUUAAAAAAGUGGUUGAAACUCGAUACGACAAAGAAGAUGAGAAGGAUUACAGAAUGAGAGGUGGUGAGGUGAAGCUUUAUUCAUAUGAUCCCAUUGAAGUUCAAGCUCGUGAUAUUUAUACAAAAAGAAAUUUCUUUGAAUUCAAGGAACAAUUGAGAUUGAUCUUGGGACAUUCAUUGCACCAUAUAAGUAACUGCAAUACACAAUCCUACAAUGACCUAUUAUUGCUAGCAUGAAUCGAUUAGCAGAAAAGGUCUCAUGCAAUUGCAAAUGUUCGAAUUUACGGGCCUUUUAUGCACAAAGGAGAUCUUUCAACAUUCAAUCUAUACAACAUGAGGCAAUGGGUGACUCUGUGCAUGCAAAGGUUAUAAGGUCUAAUGCACUUAGUCAACGAGUGCAAGAGUUGUCCAUCAAGGUGCGAAAUCAUUCGGAUCAUUUGAGUUGACUUGUUAAUUAUUUAAAAGAGUUGUUGAUGAAAUUGUUUCGUAUAAUCAAGCUUCUAAUGUAGUACAAGGCUAAGAAGUUGAAGAAUUUAAUGUAGCUCCACUUACACAAACAAGUGACCUUGAUGUUACUUUGAAGGACCCACCACAGUCACAGUGUAAAGGAAAGAGGAAACCACAAAGAUUUAAGCCUUCUAUGGAAAAGCGAGCUAAAAGGUCCAGAACAUGUGCGAAAUGCAAAAAGAAAGGUCAUAAUGUUCGAACGUGUAAAGAGGUAAUCUAUUUUGUAGUUUUAUUAAAACUUUAUUGUCUUCUUUUAUACUCCAAAUAGAGAAUCUAAAUAGUUUUCUCUUAUCUUUAUAUAGGUU
This 2805-nucleotide long non-coding RNA is filed under the name Ananas comosus (pineapple). Its description in RNAcentral is "long non-coding RNA (ACOM_LNC003235)". The record is from RNAcentral. Lineage: Eukaryota; Viridiplantae; Streptophyta; Magnoliopsida; Poales; Bromeliaceae.